GUGCAUCUUUAGUUAAGAGUGGGUUUUGUGCAGGGUCAGUCCCUCCCCUUGUCUGCCCCUCCUUUUCUCCUUCCUUCCAGUUUCCCGGCUGCGUGCAGUGUAUCCCCAUCUCCUUUUGACCAGUUCAGAUGAGUGAGGGUCCAGAGUUGGCCGCUGGCCCGGCCCCUUCCUCCUCGUUUGCGUAGACUUCCGUGUUUGUUCCCCACUUGUACAUACCCAGUACCCAGGCUUCCUACCUCUCUUCCCCACGCGGCUUCCACUGGGCAUCCGUCCCUGUGCCUGCCCAGGGUGACUUCCCAGCAUUGACUUGGUCCUCAUGGGGACCUGCAUGCCAAAGCCUCAUCUCUGCUUUCCCUCCCGCUCCCCAUUCUCUCCCUCCAUAGGACAAAGGGCUCUUUAGCUUCGUCAGCCUGCAGCUGUUUGGGCCCCUGGAGGAGACCGCCAGGGGAGCCCGCUUUGCCUUUGUGUCUACUGACUACUUUACAAAAUCAGUGCACGCUGCACCGAUGCGAGCCUGCGCCCCUGAGGACACCAGCAGGCAGAUCUGUGAGCUGGUGAGGAAGUUUGGCUUACCCGAAGGGAUCUUCAGUGCUCAGCAGCACGGCUACAUCCUCCAGCUAAAUAAAAUUUUGAAAAUGGCUUUGAAAAUAAAACGUAACCUGGUUGUUGAAUACAGUCCUCAAACAGACGGGUUCCUAGAAGACUCCAAGGCCUUUGUGAGGAGGCUUCUCUCCCUGGUGCUGGCAGCAAAUCCAGCCGACUGGGAUCAACACCUCCAUGAGGUUUUCUUCCUCCAGAGCGGACCCUCGGACUACGAAGAGGAGGAGGACUUGAGUAGCCUGGAGGUCGAGUUACAAGAGGCCUCCUCAGCCCCUGAUGAAAACCGGCCCCCCUCCUUCUGUGGCCCGGAGGCCCUGAAGAGCUGCCCAGAUGGUGAGAGGGACACCCCGGGGAAAGCCCGAAGACACGAGGACGUGUGUUCGCUUCCUGACGAGGGCAGCAGGGAUGUGUUUGCUGUGCUGCAGUGUGACCGAUGCCAGGCAUGGGCCCACGACUUGUGUGUGACGAGGCAGCAUGGAUGGGCGUAUCAGAAAACCAGCGUCCGGUGCAGAGCCUGCCUCCUGGCAGAUGAAGGAGCGGGGCCAGGGCCUGGGCCCUUCUCCAGAGCUCUGGAGGUAGAGGAGAGCAGGACGAGCAGGACUGUGGGGCCAACGUGGCCGGCCACCGGCACCACCGGCAGCAAACACUCGUCGUCUUCCAAGUAGCUGGUGGGCCCCGAGCCUGAGCACCUGGCCAGGGCCGGCCCCAUCUCUGCCAGGGACAGGCAGACGUGCACAGAGUGAGGGCUGUGUACAAACCCUGCUGUGAUGGGCAAAAUCACUAGAACCUCCAGUGUCUGUUCGGUGUAUUCUUUAUUCUUGGGAUCCCUAAAAAGAGUAGACCAGCUGCCCUUCUUCUACCCCCCCCACCGCAACACUUACUUGCAAGGCCUCUGUGACCUAGCUUCCACUUCCUCCUCCGAGGAGCCAGGAUGGUCAGACAACAGUCAACAUACAUCUCUUUGAUGCCUGCCUGUCACGGGACAGUCACUGUGCCCACCUCCCAGGAUACAAAGGUAGAAAUGCAGCUGUCCUACCUGAGACUGCAUCUCUGACUCUGAACCCCUAGCCCACCACCUCCCUACAAAGACACAGGAUGUUAUUCUAUUAAAAGCUAAUAUUUACUAUUUGGGGAUGGAAAUUUUGCUGUGACAAAAUUUAGUACAAAAAUAAUUUUUAUAGCUUUUUGAUUUAUCUGUAAGCCUCAUCCCUUCAAAAAAAAUCAAAUUAUUUUAAGACACUUAAAUUUUGUGAGUCGUGUAUAGUUCCUGCUUUUCUGCGCC
RNAcentral lists this long non-coding RNA (1882 nucleotides) under Phascolarctos cinereus (koala). Its description in RNAcentral is "lncRNA (ENSPCIG00000030319.2)". The record is from RNAcentral. Lineage: Eukaryota; Metazoa; Chordata; Mammalia; Diprotodontia; Phascolarctidae.